RNAcentral lists this long non-coding RNA (785 nucleotides) under Jatropha curcas. Its description in RNAcentral is "long non-coding RNA (JCUR_LNC001715)". The record is from RNAcentral. Lineage: Eukaryota; Viridiplantae; Streptophyta; Magnoliopsida; Malpighiales; Euphorbiaceae.
UCAUUAGAAAGCUAAAACAAAAUACUACAAAUGUUAUGAAGGGACCACAGCCCAGAUCAAUCUUUAAGAUGGCAAAAAAAAGCUAGGAACACAGACCAACAGUCUAGACCUGAUUCAGCAGAACUAAUUUCAAUGUUUAUCAAAUUUCUACUUAUCCAGACACUCAAAUCACACCAAUCCAAAACCAGAGAAGUCUCAAGACACAGGGCAACAACUCUCAUGAAGAUGGUGUUACAUUUACUUGUGAAUACUCAAUUACUUCUAAUUCAUAAUUUUAGUUUUAUGAUUUAUAUGUUAAGUUAAGAUGGUGUCUCCGGCACCGAAUGUGGCAUCCGCCGUCGGGUCUCUCGGGACUGGGCGGAGGGUGUUACAUUUAGUGGUAUCAGAGCAUAGGUUUAGACGGUUCUAGGACUAUAUGUGUAUAUAUGUCGGAAUUUAUCUAUUUUGAAGCGAGAGUAUGAGUAAUUUAAGUUAAAUACAUGCCAUAUUUGUUUGAAUUGGAAACAACCAGCAAUUGGAGAGUGGUGUCGUGGUAAGCGGAGUAUAUAUUGAGGUUACUACUGAUGAUUAAUGGUUAUAUCCUUUUAAACCAGUUGAAUAAAUUAUUCUUGGAGGAAAUUCUUAGAGAAUAAGGGAUAGAGAUUCGAUGUGGUGGUUAUUGGAGAUGAGAUAUUAUUAAGGAAUUAAAGGAUUUGUGUUCUUUUUCUUGAGUUGAUAUGUUUUCCAAGUGAUAGAAAUAUAUUGAAGAUUUGACUUUUGAAAAUAUGAAUUUUAAUUUCGAAAUU